RNAcentral lists this long non-coding RNA (1476 nucleotides) under Zonotrichia albicollis (white-throated sparrow). RNAcentral describes it as "lncRNA (ENSZALG00000004903.1)". The record is from RNAcentral. Lineage: Eukaryota; Metazoa; Chordata; Aves; Passeriformes; Passerellidae.
GGGGGACAGGAAUUUCUAUUCCAGGUAAAAGGGGAGCAGAUUCCAUGUCUUGGACAGUCCCAGAGCAGAAGGGGAGCAGAUUCCAUGUCUUGGACAGUCGCAGAGCAGAAGGGGAGCAGGUUCCAAGUCCUGAACAGCCCUGGGGAGAAGGGGAGCUCCAUUCCCUGCACGUGGAGAGGCUCCUGAGCCAUUUCCUGCCGGGCCUGGGUUAUGUUGGUUCACUUUGGCUCCUGCCCUGGAUGCCACUUCCAUGACAUCACUUGGAGUGGAGGAGCUGUUAACCCAGGGCAUGCUGCUGCUGUGAUUUUCCCAGGAUGGCAGAGGAGUUGCUCCAAGCGUGGCUGCAGCAGAUGUGAGGAUGUGUUUGGGGGAGCCUCUGCUGCCGAGCCCUUCCUGGAAUCCUGCAGAAGCCGAAAAGAGCAGGAAAUAUUUUUCUAAGGCAGCCGAAACGAGCCCUCCUUCAAUAAUAACCCAAGGGAUGGUGGAGUUGUCAAGCUGAGCUCAUAUCGAACUGGUUCUGCGGUGCUGGCUGGUGGCACUGGGGACACUGAGCCAGUCCCAGGUGUCCCCAGGAGGAGCACAGACCUGGCUGCCACCGAAGGACUUCACCGGGAAGGAAACCCGAGCUGCCGGGAGCCAGGGCUGCGGCUGGGAGGAGGAAAUUGCUGUUUCUGCUGAGCCGUGCAGAGAAAACAAAUCUCACCCCCAGGAGCCGCCUUCAAAGGGAGAAAUUCCUGCCCUGGGAGCUGCCCAGGGCUCAGCCCUGGCACCCACGGGCUGGGCAGAGCCUGGAGGGACUCAGGGGAGGGGUUGGAUGGGAGGGAUCCCAAAGCUCAUCCAGUUCCAUGUUCCAGGCUGCUCCAAGCCCUGUCCAGCCUGACCUUGGGGUCCAGGGGCAUCCACACUGCUCUGGGAAUCUCUUCUAAGGUCUCCCCACCCUCACUGGGGAGAAUUUAAACCUAAAUCCUCCUCCUGUGUCACCAGAGCCCUCCUGGGAUGAUGUUCCCUGGUCUCUCUUCAUUUUGAAAAAUCUCCUUUUUUUUUUUUUUUUGCUCCCACCAAAGCCUUUCCUGCUGCCUCUCUCCCUUUCCAUGGUUUUCCUCCUCUUGGAUUUUCAUGUUUUUCUGGAAAACCCCAGGCUCUGGAUGUUCCUCUGUGAGCAGCCCAGUGUCCACCCUGUUCCAUUCUGAUCCCAGCUCCUCUUUUAUUCCAGCUGUGGUGGGAUCCUGAGGAGAUCAUGGAAUUUUCUUGGCUCCCUGCUGGCACUUCCAGGGAUCCAGGAGCAGCCACAGUUUCUCUGGGAAUCUUUUCCAGAGCCUCCCCUCCCUCACUGGGGAAAAUUCAAACCUAAAUCCAACCUAAAUCCUUCUCCAGAGCCCCCCUGAGAUGAUGUUCCCUGCUCUCUCUUCAUUCUGAAAAAUCCUUCUCUCUUCAUUUUGAAAAAUCUCCAUUUUUUGCUCCCACCAAAGCCUUUCC